Molecule: ribosomal RNA, 334 nt
Filed under: uncultured bacterium
Lineage: Bacteria
Description: bacterial SSU rRNA
Rfam family: Bacterial small subunit ribosomal RNA
Source: RNAcentral
UGUGCAGGUGGCUGAUUAAAGUCAAAAGAUGAAAUCCCGAGGCUCAACUUCAGAACUGUCUUUGAUACUGGUCAGCUUGAGGCUAGUAAAAGGAGAGCGGAAUUCCCGGCGGAGCGGUGAAAUGCGUAGAUAUCGGGAGGAACACCAGAGGCGUAAGCGGUUCUCUAGGCUAGUCCUGACACUGAGACACGAAAGCUAGGGGAGCAAACGGGAUUAGAUACCCCGGUAGUCCUAGCCGUAAACGAUGGACACUAGAUGUUCUCACGUUCAUGUGGGAGUGUCGUAGCUAACGCGUUAAGUGUCCCGCCGUGGGGAGUACGGUCGCAAGGCUGAA